RNAcentral lists this unclassified non-coding RNA (336 nucleotides) under soil metagenome. RNAcentral describes it as "partial contains 5.8S ribosomal RNA, internal transcribed spacer 2, and large subunit ribosomal RNA". The stretch from base 1 to 120 matches the Rfam family "5.8S ribosomal RNA", at positions 35 to 154 of the family's 154-position model. The record is from RNAcentral.
GAUGAAGAACGUAGCGAAAUGCGAUAAGUAAUGUGAAUUGCAGAAUUCAGUGAAUCAUCGAAUCUUUGAACGCACAUUGCGCCCGCCAGUAUUCUGGCGGGCAUGCCUGUUCGAGCGUCAUUUCAACCAUCAAGCCCCAGGCUUGUGUUGGGGACCUGCGGCUGCCGCAGGCCCUGAAAACCAGUGGCGGGCUCGCUGUCACACCGGGCGUAGUAGAUUUUAUCUCGCUCUGGGCGUGCUGCGGGUUCCGGCCGUUAAAAAACCCUUUUAACCCAAGGUUGACCUCGGAUCAGGUAGGAAUACCCGAUGAACUUAAGCAUAUCAAUAAGCGGAGGA